RNAcentral lists this small nuclear RNA (149 nucleotides) under Astyanax mexicanus (Mexican tetra). RNAcentral describes it as "U2 spliceosomal RNA (ENSAMXG00000035818.1)". It matches the Rfam family "U2 spliceosomal RNA", at positions 36 to 185 of the family's 192-position model. Rfam says of the family: U2 is a small nuclear RNA (snRNA) component of the spliceosome (involved in pre-mRNA splicing). Complementary binding between U2 snRNA (in an area lying towards the 5' end but 3' to hairpin I) and the branchpoint sequence (BPS) of the intron results the bulging out of an unpaired adenosine, on the BPS, which initiates a nucleophilic attack at the intronic 5' splice site, thus starting the first of two transesterification reactions that mediate splicing. Lineage: Eukaryota; Metazoa; Chordata; Actinopteri; Characiformes; Acestrorhamphidae. The record is from RNAcentral.
GUGUCUGUUCUUAUCAGUUUAAUAUCUGAUACGCCCUCUAUAUGAGGGCUACAUAUUAAAUGGAUUUUUAGAACAGGGAGCAAGAACAGGAGCUUGCUCCUUCUGCUCCACACAUCGACCUGGUAUUGCAGUACCUCCAGGAGCAGUGC